CAAAUUGCUACCCUCUCUCUAUAUAUAUUUCAGAAAAUAUUAUAAAAUUUUAAUUUAUAAAAGAAUAGAAACCCCUCUAUAUCUUCAAAAUUCAGCCCAUUACAAAAUUCUGCAAACCUUACUCUCCAGUCUCCACAGACCACAAAACUCACGCUCACGCAUGGGCACGGCUCCAUAGACCACACUCCACGCCUCGUAGCCUCCGGAACGUACGUAGCCGGCCGACUUCUAAGGUAACUGAAUCUUUUUUCCUUGUUUCAUUAUGGUUUUUAGUUUCUGUUCUAGACUUCUUGGAUUGUUCAAAAUUUGAAUUUUAAAGUUGUUUUAUUUCCUAUUGCACUUCUACUUGAUUUCGGGUUUUAGUUCCUGUUCUAGGAUUAUUCAAAAAAAAUGUUGUUUUUGUGGAGCUAGGCAGUUUAAAAAAUUAAGGUAAAGCUUUCUGUUGUUGUAAUGAAUUUGUGCAGUUAAAAAAUGGUGAGAUUCCUCAAGAAUUGUCUCGUCAAUUUUUUAUUUCUUGACACAUUAAUUUGUUUUUUGCAGGUUUGAGUCAGAAUUUGUCAUCUUUGGAGGAUAGUCCUUGAAAGGAAUAGUUUGCUGUUUGCUUGAAUUUUGAGUUUAUUCCUUUAAGAUUUACAAUACAUGCUUUCAGUUUCUUUGGCAUCUUGUUUAGCUUUUUGAGUUUGCCAUUUUAUAUUUAGCCCUUGUUUAAUGCCUAUUACCUGAAAAUGAAAAUGGGGGGAAUAAUAUUUUUUAAAAAAAUGAGUGGUUGAAAAGGAAGAAAAGGUUUUCGAUUUAUGUGUAAUAUUAUUUUAUGAAAGAUUGUGUGGUUGAAAAUAGGAGAGAGAAAAAUAAAAUGUAAUGUAAUUUAAUUUAAUGAGGAUGAAACAGGACUUUCUGUUUGAGACUUUUGUGUGUGUCAAUUUCUGACAAAACUGUUUACCUAGAUCAAUAAGUAGAUGUAGAACCUGCAAUUACGGUAGUUUCUAGUCGUUGUUCAUUAUGGUUAAUGCUGUGAAAGUCAGUUUUCUCUACCUUUUGUCACUAUGAAGAAGAAAGCUGUUGGCAUCUGUAAUUUUACUGCGUUUUACAAGUUUGGGAGGAUGAAGUAUGGAAUGUUUGCUUCAUGUGCUAUACUGCUUUUAGAGAGAUAAUUAUUAAAAUAAAAAUCAUACAUAUAUAUUUUUUAAUAUUUUAAUUCAAAUUAGCUACGGAAAUAGCAACGAAAAUCCAUUGGUAAUCAUCAAUAGACAGAAUUUGUAGGUAAUUUGCGACGAAAAAAUUUGUUGCUAAUUAGUGACAGAAAUAGUUGUUAGUAAACACCAACGACUUUUUUUGUCACUAAAUCACCGAUGACCUAGGUAAUUCAUUGCUAAAAUUAGCGGCGGGGGUAUUACCCACGAAUUUUCCAACUGAUCAAUUCCGUUUGUAAAAAUCGUUAGCGACGAAAUUUAAGGCAUCAGCGAUGAAAUUCUGUCUCUGAAGUUGUAUUUUUUUGUAGUGGUGAUCGAAAACCUAACAAUAUACCGCUAAAGCAAAAACAACAUAAAAAUGGAGGUUAAAAUGUCAAAAAAUCAUGGCUAUGAACUCAAAAACUUACUUGAAAUCCAAAAGGGAUUUCAAGAUCAGAACAAAUGAACACCUUAACUAAUAGAGUUCAUGAUGCUACUUCAUCCAACCACUCCGUAAGUCUUUCGAACCUUAAGUUUGAAGGUCUGAGAGUAUUAGAAUGAUCUAGGACUUUCUUCUAUACAAUCUACAAAGAGAACUAGAAUUAGGUUCAAAGAAAAAGCAAUCGAUGUUUUUUAAAGAGAAAGAGAUGAAAUUUGGAAAGAAUUUUUUUGGAGAGAAUCAAUCUUGGAAAGGAAGAUGAAUGGGUCGAGAGAAGAGUGAGUUGUAGGGUUUUGUUUUGUGGUGAAGAGAUAAAGACGUGUUUCAUUUAGGAGAGAUGUGCAUUGUAGAAAAACCAUGUAGUAGAUCAGUUAAGUGUGAAAAGGCAUGUAACAUAAAUGAACAGUGAAUCUCCAUACCCUAUCUUUUAAGAGAGAAGAGAAAGAGAUAUAAAUCCAUUGUACUCUCAUAUUUGCCAUAAUUUUUACGUGAC
RNAcentral lists this long non-coding RNA (2101 nucleotides) under Olea europaea subsp. europaea. The record is from RNAcentral. Lineage: Eukaryota; Viridiplantae; Streptophyta; Magnoliopsida; Lamiales; Oleaceae.